UCGAGGAUCUUCGGCAAUGGGCGCAAGCCUGACCGAGCGACGCCGCGUGUGCGAUGAAGGCCUUCGGGUUGUAAAGCACUGUCGAGAGGGAGAAAGCCGCAAGGUUGAUCUAUCUCUGGAGGAAGCACGGGCUAAGUUCGUGCCAGCAGCCGCGGUAAGACGAACCGUGCGAACGUUGUUCGGAAUCACUGGGCUUAAAGGGCGCGUAGGCGGGCAACCAAGUCUGAGGUGAAAUCCUCCAGCUUAACUGGAGAAGUGCCCCGGAUACUGGUUGCCUCGAGGAUGGUAGGGGCAUCUGGAACUAGCGGUGGAGCGGUGAAAUGCGUUGAUAUCGCUAGGAACUCCGGUGGCGAAGGCGAGGUGCUGGACCAUUUCUGACGCUGAGGCGCGAAAGCCAGGGGAGCGAACG
RNAcentral lists this ribosomal RNA (409 nucleotides) under uncultured bacterium. Its description in RNAcentral is "bacterial SSU rRNA". It matches the Rfam family "Bacterial small subunit ribosomal RNA", at positions 355 to 774 of the family's 1533-position model. The record is from RNAcentral.